This is a long non-coding RNA of Sinocyclocheilus grahami, 350 nucleotides long. RefSeq lists it as uncharacterized. The record is from RefSeq and is a predicted model, not a curated record. The transcript has 3 exons. Lineage: Eukaryota; Metazoa; Chordata; Actinopteri; Cypriniformes; Cyprinidae.
ACUCACAAACAAUGUGGAAGUGAGCAGAGUGUUCAGAGCACUGAGAGGACAGACAGAGAGCCCAACAAGAAAACUCUUCAGCACAUCCACUGAAAGACUGCAAGAGGAGGCUUGAUACACUAAAUCCUACUGAAGACAUCAGGAAGCCAAGAUGGCAGUCAGUUCAUUUCAUCGUGGGCAAUGGGCCUCACAGUCCUUGCGAGUUACAGCAAAGGAGCUCUCUAUUAUUGGUGUGCGAGGCAAAAACACGGCCAUUGCUGAGCGAUUUUCCAACGUUGUGCUUUUGGCUUCCUUUCUACACCUACAGCAAUGACUUCACCAUCCCAAGAACUAGAUUUGCCAGCUGGAUU